This 252-nucleotide ribosomal RNA is filed under the name uncultured bacterium. Its description in RNAcentral is "partial 16S ribosomal RNA". It matches the Rfam family "Bacterial small subunit ribosomal RNA", at positions 524 to 776 of the family's 1533-position model. The record is from RNAcentral.
AACGUAGGUGGCGAGCGUUAUCCGGAUUUACUGGGCGUAAAGCGUGUGCAGGUGGGCUACCAAGUGGUGUAUGAAAUCUCUCAGCUUAACUGAGAGCGGUUAUGUCAGACUGGCAGCCUAGAGUACGAGAGAGGGACGUGGAAUUCCGGUGGAGCGGUGAAAUGCGUUGAUAUCGGAAGGAACUCCGGCGGCGAAAGCGAUGCACUGGCUGGUUUCUGACGCUGAGGUGCGAAAGCCAGGGGAGCAAACGGG